GACGAACGCUGGCGGCGUGCUUAACACAUGCAAGUCGAACGCUGAAGACCUGGCUUUUGUUGGGUUGGAUGAGUGGCGAACGGGUGAGUAACACGUGAGUAACCUGCCCUCUUCUUUGGGAUAACGCCCGGAAACGGGUGCUAAUACUGGAUAUUCACUGAUCUUCGCAUGGGGGUUGGUGGAAAGGUUUGUUCUGGUGGGGGAUGGGCUCGCGGCCUAUCAGCUUGUUGGUGGGGUGAUGGCCUACCAAGGCUUUGACGGGUAGCCGGCCUGAGAGGGUGACCGGUCACAUUGGGACUGAGCUACGGCCCAGACUCCUACGGGAGGCAGCAGUGGGGAAUAUUGCACAAUGGGCGAAAGCCUGAUGCAGCGACGCCGCGUGAGGGAUGGAGGCCUUCGGGUUGUAAACCUCUUUCGCUCAUGGUCAAGCCGCAACUGUGGGUUGUGGUGAGGGUAGUGGGUAAAGAAGCGCCGGCUAACUACGUG
Molecule: ribosomal RNA, 486 nt
Filed under: uncultured bacterium
Lineage: Bacteria
Description: partial 16S ribosomal RNA
Rfam family: Bacterial small subunit ribosomal RNA
Source: RNAcentral